CACAGAGCAGGGUGGUGGGUAACGCCCACCCGGGGUGACCCGCGGGCCAGUGCCACAGAGAACAGACCGCCCCGAUGCGCCGGUUCGCCGACGUGCCGGGGUAAGGGUGAAACGGCGGUGUAAGAGACCACCGGCACCGUGAGCGAUCACGGUGGCCAGGUAAACCCCACCCGGAGCAAGACCAGACAGCAGGCGGGUUGCUCGCCCUUGCCUGCGGGUAGGUCGCUGGAGGCCGUCAGCAAUGACGGUCCGAGAUGGAUGACCGUCCCACG
This 272-nucleotide unclassified non-coding RNA is filed under the name Propioniferax innocua. RNAcentral's name for it is "partial ribonuclease P RNA". It matches the Rfam family "Bacterial RNase P class A", at positions 60 to 320 of the family's 367-position model. Rfam says of the family: Ribonuclease P (RNase P) is a ubiquitous endoribonuclease, found in archaea, bacteria and eukarya as well as chloroplasts and mitochondria. Lineage: Bacteria; Bacillati; Actinomycetota; Actinomycetes; Propionibacteriales; Propionibacteriaceae. The record is from RNAcentral.